GGGUGAGUAACACGUAGGAAUCUGCCCAACGGUGGGGGACAACCCGGAGAAAUCCGGGCUAAUACCGCAUACGCCCUACGGGGGAAAGCGGGGGACCUUCGGGCCUCGCGCUGUUGGAAGAGCCUGCGUCAGAUUAGCUUGUUGGUGAGGUAACGGCUCACCAAGGCGACGAUCCGUAGCUGGUCUGAGAGGAUGAUCACCCACACUGGGACUGAGACACGGCCCACACUCCUACGGGAGGCAGCAGUGGGGAAUAUUGCACAGUGGGCGAAAGCCUGAUGCAGCCAUACCGCGUGGGUGAAGAAGGCCUUAGGGUUGUAAAGCCCUUUCAGCGGGGAAGAAAGGCACGGGGAUAAUACCCUCGUUUCUUGACGGUACCUGAAUAAGAAGCACCGGCUAACUCCGUGCCAGCAGCCGCGGUAAUACUGAGGGUGCAAGCGUUAAUCGGAAUUACUGGGCGUAAAGCGCGCGUA
This 473-nucleotide ribosomal RNA is filed under the name uncultured Gammaproteobacteria bacterium. RNAcentral describes it as "bacterial SSU rRNA". It matches the Rfam family "Bacterial small subunit ribosomal RNA", at positions 104 to 573 of the family's 1533-position model. The record is from RNAcentral. Lineage: Bacteria; Pseudomonadati; Pseudomonadota; Gammaproteobacteria.